Molecule: ribosomal RNA, 466 nt
Filed under: uncultured bacterium
Lineage: Bacteria
Description: partial 16S ribosomal RNA
Rfam family: Bacterial small subunit ribosomal RNA
Source: RNAcentral
GACGAACGCUGGCGGCGUGCUUAACACAUGCAAGUCGAACGGAAAGGCUCCAGCUUGCUGGAGUACUCGAGUGGCGAACGGGUGAGUAACACGUGGGUAAUCUGCCCUGCACUCUGGGAUAAGCCUGGGAAACUGGGUCUAAUACUGGAUAUGACCUUUCUCCUUAUGGGGUUUGGUGAAAAGUUUUUCGGUGUAGGAUGAGCCCGCGGCCUAUCAGCUUGUUGGUGGGGUGAUGGCCUACCAAGGCGACGACGGGUAGCCGGCCUGCGAGGGUGAUCGGCCACAUUGGGACUGAGAUACGGCCCAGACUCCUACGGGAGGCAGCAGUGGGGAAUAUUGCACAAUGGGCGGAAGCCUGAUGCAGCGACGCCGCGUGAGGGAUGACGGCCUUCGGGUUGUAAACCUCUUUCAGCAGGGACGAAGCGUAAGUGACGGUACCUGCAGAAGAAGCACCGGCUAACUAUGU